CGUAGGCGCAGCGUGUCCGGAUAUGGCGUAGAGCUCGUAGGCGGUCUGUCGCGUCUGGUGUGAAUCCCAUGGCUCAACUGUGGCUUGCAUCGGUACGGCAGACUAGAGUGCUGUAGGGAGACUGGAAUUCCUGGUGUAGCGGUGGAAUGCGCAGAUAUCAGGAGGACACCGAUGGCGAAGGCAGGUCUCUGGGCAGUUACUGACGCUGAGGAGCGAAAGCAUGGGAGCGAACAGGAUU
RNAcentral lists this ribosomal RNA (238 nucleotides) under uncultured bacterium. RNAcentral's name for it is "partial 16S ribosomal RNA". It matches the Rfam family "Bacterial small subunit ribosomal RNA", at positions 526 to 779 of the family's 1533-position model. The record is from RNAcentral.